CUCUGUGACUCCUACGGGAGGCAGCAGUGGGGAAUAUUGCACAAUGGGGGAAACCCUGAUGCAGCCAUGCCGCGUGUGUGAAGAAGGCCUUCGGGUUGUAAAGCACUUUCAGUAGGGAGGAAGGUAGUGUAGUUAAUACCUGCAUUAUUUGACGUUACCUACAGAAGAAGCACCGGCUAACUCCGUGCCAGCAGCCGCGGUAAUACGGAGGGUGCGAGCGUUAAUCGGAAUUACUGGGCGUAAAGCGCAUGCAGGCGGCCUGUUAAGUCAGAUGUGAAAGCCCCGGGGCUUAACCUCGGAAUUGCAUUUGAAACUGGCAGGCUAGAGUCUUGUAGAGGGGGUAGAAUUUCAGGUGUAGCGGUGAAAUGCGUAGAGAUCUGAAGGAAUACCGGUGGCGAAGGCGGCCCCCUGGACAGAUACUGACACUCAGAUGCGAAAGCGUGGGGAGCAAACAGGAUUAGAUACCCUGGUAG
RNAcentral lists this ribosomal RNA (473 nucleotides) under uncultured bacterium. RNAcentral's name for it is "bacterial SSU rRNA". It matches the Rfam family "Bacterial small subunit ribosomal RNA", at positions 328 to 793 of the family's 1533-position model. The record is from RNAcentral.